RNAcentral lists this transfer RNA (72 nucleotides) under Pseudomonas aeruginosa. RNAcentral describes it as "tRNA-Arg". It matches the Rfam family "tRNA". Rfam says of the family: Transfer RNA (tRNA) molecules are approximately 80 nucleotides in length. Their secondary structure includes four short double-helical elements and three loops (D, anti-codon, and T loops). The record is from RNAcentral. RNAcentral also lists the same sequence under 1 other name. Lineage: Bacteria; Pseudomonadati; Pseudomonadota; Gammaproteobacteria; Pseudomonadales; Pseudomonadaceae.
GUCCUCGUAGUUUAAUGGAUAGAACGGCCCCCUCCUAAGGGGUCGGUACAGGUUCGAUUCCUGUCGGGGACG